RNAcentral lists this ribosomal RNA (1200 nucleotides) under Triticum aestivum (bread wheat). RNAcentral's name for it is "partial small subunit ribosomal RNA". The record is from RNAcentral. Lineage: Eukaryota; Viridiplantae; Streptophyta; Magnoliopsida; Poales; Poaceae.
AUGCGGAUCAAUGGUACUACAAAGUCCGCCCUUGCGAGUCACUUAGGUGAAUCGAUUUCAGGGGCUAUAACGAUAAGGGCCUUUGAGGGAGAAGAUCAUUUCUUUGCUAAAAAUUUGGAUCUUGUUGACAAGAAUGCCAGCCCAUAUUUCUGUAAUUUUGCAGCAACUGAAUGGUUGAUUCAACAUAUAGAAAUAAUGAGCGCCAUAGUUCUUUCUUCUUCUGCCUUUGUCAUGGCUCUUCUUCCUCAAGAAACUUCUAGCCCUGGUUUUGUGGGAAUGGCAUUGUCCUAUGGUCUUUCUCUAAAUACAUCAUUUGUUUCCUUUACUCAAAGCCAGUGCAACCUUGGGAAUCAAAUAAUCUCAGUGGAACGGGUGAGCCAAUACAUGGACAUACCAAGUGAAGCAGCAGAAGUCAUUGAAGACAAUCGACCAUUGCCAGAUUGGCCCCAAAAUGCCUAUGUGGAGAUUAGGCAUUUGAAGAUCAGGUAUAGGAUAGAUGCUCCCCUUGUACUACAUGGAAUCACUUGCAAUUUUGAACGUGGAGAUAAGAUUGGUAUAGUUGGUCGAACAGGAAGUGGCAAGACAACGUUAAUUGGUGCAUUGUUUCGCCUUGUUGAACCUGAUGAAGGGAAAAUAAUUAUAGACUCUGUGGAUAUCAGUAUGAUAGGCUUACAUGAUCCGCAGUCGCGUUUGGGUAUCAUUCCACAAGAUCCAACACUGUUUCAGGGUACAAUAAGAUACAAUCUAGAUCCUCUUGGGCAAUUCUCAGAUGAGAAAAUAUGGGAGGUUCUUGCCAAAUGUCAACUUCUUGAAGCUGUCCAGGAGAAGGAACAAGGACUGGAUUCACAUGUUGUGGAAAGUGGGUCAAACUGGAGCAUGGGCCAAAGGCAGCUCUUCUGCCUGGGAUGCGCACUUCUGAGAAGGUGCCGCAUCUUACUUCUUGAUGAAGCCACAACCUCUAUAGACAAUGCAACAGAUGUUCUCCUUCAGAAGACGAUCCGGACAGAAUUCAAAUAUUGCACUAUUAUUACAGUUGCCCACCGUAUACCAACAGUUAUGCACUGGGAUAUGGUACUUGCAAUGAGCGACGGGAAAGUAGUAGAGUUUGACAAACCUACAAAGCUCAUGGAAACUGAAGGAUCUCUCUUUCGCGAGCUGGUCAAGAAGUAUUGGUCAUACACUUCGAGCACAAAUAUCUAG